Non-coding RNA from Massospora cicadina, 79 nucleotides. NCBI's taxonomy places the organism in Eukaryota, Fungi, Entomophthoromycota, Entomophthoromycetes, Entomophthorales, Entomophthoraceae. The record is from the annotation of a GenBank genome assembly.
GCGUUAAGGGUGGAAGCUUAGUCGUUAGGGCAUAUGGCUACUAACCUGAAGGUUGCGAGUUCAAUUCCCACCCUUUGCA